Molecule: ribosomal RNA, 401 nt
Filed under: uncultured bacterium
Lineage: Bacteria
Description: bacterial SSU rRNA
Rfam family: Bacterial small subunit ribosomal RNA
Source: RNAcentral
AAUGAACGCUGGCGGCGUGCUUAACACAUGCAAGUCGUGCGCGAAGGCGGCUUCGGCUGCCGGAGAGCGGCGAACGGGUGAGUAACACGUGGGUAAUCUACCUGGGAGUGGGGGAUAACCUGGGGAAACUCGGGCUAAGACCGCAUACGAUGCUGGGACUUCGGUCCUGUUCUGAAAGCUGGCCUCUGCUUGCAAGCUAGCGCUCCCAGAGGAGCCCGCGGCUGAUUAGCUGGUUGGUGGGGUAAUGGCCUACCAAGGCGACGAUCAGUAGCCGGCCUGAGAGGGUGAUCGGCCACACUGGAACUGAGACACGGUCCAGACUCCUACGGGAGGCAGCAGUGGGGAAUCUUGCGCAAUGGGCGAAAGCCUGACGCAGCGACGCCGCGUGAGGGAUGACGGCC